Molecule: long non-coding RNA, 1480 nt
Filed under: Triticum aestivum (bread wheat)
Lineage: Eukaryota; Viridiplantae; Streptophyta; Magnoliopsida; Poales; Poaceae
Description: long non-coding RNA (TAES_LNC004048)
Source: RNAcentral
CCGUGUACAUUUAUUCCAGUGCUCAAUCAUUGUCCGUCUCAACCAAACCUAACAUGGCGGUGCGAAUUUCUGCUAGGUAUGCUUCUCCCUCCCAUCAACUCCUUCUGAUUAUUCAUAUAGAUAUGUUUUUCUCAUUUUUACUGAUGCCCUUUUCUUGCCAUAUCUUUGGGUGUUGCUUCCUACAGCCAUUUUGACCAUUUGCUUUGGAAGUAUUAAUUCAAGUCAGAAAGAACAGAUAAUUUGAGACUGUUUUUGUCUUCCCUACAAUCUGUUCAGGUCGAUCAUUUUUUCUGUCAUUAUUUUUUCUUUUCUUUGGCAGUGUACUUGGGUUAUUUCUUUCUCUGGAGCUUGGGCAUAUUGGUUGUCUGUUGGCUCUUUUUACUAGCAGUCUUUCCUUUUUAGUAUAUGGGAGAGAUUACUAGCUCACAUAUAUAGUUUAGUUAUUAAGUUUCUAAAUAAGUUCAGCCUUAGGAGUACAGAUUUUGUAUCUAUUGCUUAUUUAAUCCAUUGAGAUCUAUUCUCUCUGCUUCAUACAGUAUGUUUGCAUUUAACUUGAAAAUUGUAUGCUUACUUCAAAAUUGGGCUGUGACUUCUGCUGCUGAUAGAUUCAAUUAUGGUUUGGUUGCGUACUAGUCAAAAUGAUUUAUAUCGUAUCAUAAAUUUCAGGAACCGUAUCACAACAAAUCAUUGGCACUGUAGCUUCAGUGGACAUUUAUGUUGAAUAUCCCCUCACUGGACAAGGUUGGAUUUUUUUGUAUACAAACUCUCCUCUCAGCUGCUCAGGUAGUUCUUCUUUCUCAUUAUCAAUGAAUAAUCUGGUUACAAAAUAUGCUUGAAGAUUGCAACACAGAGAGAUUGCCUGGCAGAGUAAAAUAAUUAGGAGCUUCAGAUUGGACCCUUCAAGCAUUAGUGUUGUUAAUAUGUUAAUUAUUAGAUUAUGUUACUAGAUUAGAAGAACUCCCUGAUAUAUGUAUCUAUAGGAUUCUGUGAUAUUUGAUGCAAAAUGUUGAUGGCCAGGCACUAUACUAAGCCUGAGAAAAAUUUCCAUUUUUUCUUUUUGUGGCAGUACCAGAACCUAUAGAGGAUGUUAGCUUCUGAUUGGACCCUUGCUGAUUCAUUUCGACCACAGUAUCAGAAGUUCAGAACCCAGGUUGGUACAACACCACUUUGCAAUUUUUUUCCGUGGUACAAAGUCGCUUAGCUGCAGCAUGAGGUCUGCUGAACUUUCCCCAACAUGCCUUUGGUUCCUACACACUGUUGCAUUUGUCCAACAGUGCCAUGUCUGUCUGGACACAGGUGAAUGCAGUGGACACUUUGAGAUUAAGGCCACCAACGGCAUAUGCCAAUGACGUCCAUUAACAACCUGCCCGAGGUCUGGAUUCACCGAGCACAAUCGGAGACGUGGUCUUUUGCCUGCUGGUCUGGAAACUAUACAAUUUCUCUGAAACCCACUUAUCCUCUAAUGCAUGAAUCUCUAUGC